GGUCAACUAGGUAAGCAGCCCUCUCUCUCGAUCACUUUUCCUCAACCGCAACUGCUUCUGCUCUGCGUCAUCGCCUUCACCUCCACCCUAACAUUUUGCCUCUUCCACCACCGUCUCCGGCAUCGCUUUUUGCUUCUCCGGCUAUCCCUCACCAAUCGCAAGACUGCUCCGAGUGCUCUCUACUUACCCGUGCUUAAUUUUCACGAACUGGGUUCUUCAGUCCGGAAGAUAUGGCAUCUGAAGCAACAUCUCAGUCAAAAGGGAAAGGCAAAGGGUAUUUCACUUGGACUCCUGAAAUGGAUCGUGUAAUGGGCACCUGUUUUAUUGACCAAAUGAACCAAGGAAACAAAUUGGAUGGUAAAUGUGCAUUGGUAAUUGAUUUUUUUUGGUAAUCUCCAGUUGAAGUUGUUUUGUAGAAGAAGUUGAGCUGAUUGCUGGAAGCCCAAGUAGAGCAAGUAGAAGUUGUUACUACUCCAUCGUGUAUCCAUGACUUUUUAAAUUCUGAUGAGUUCUUUGUUUUUUAUGUAAUGGAUCAAAACAAGAUUAUAGAAAGAUUCUAGAGAGUAUUUCAGCUAUUUUCUCUGUUUUUGAGAUGAUAAGAAUGGAACAUUGGAUCUUUUGUCUGAUGAACUAGCAUUUUAGAUAUUGAGAUUAACAUAGCUGCCUGUGUUGAUGCCCUGACUUGUCCU
Long non-coding RNA from Coffea eugenioides, 689 nucleotides. RefSeq lists it as uncharacterized. Lineage: Eukaryota; Viridiplantae; Streptophyta; Magnoliopsida; Gentianales; Rubiaceae. The transcript is spliced from 2 exons. The record is from RefSeq and is a predicted model, not a curated record.